GAUGAACGCUGGCGGCGUGCCUAAUACAUGCAAGUCGAGCGAACGGACGAGAAGCUUGCUCUCUGAUGUUAGCGGCGGACGGGUGAGUAACACGUGGAUAACCUACCUAUAAGACUGGGAUAACUUCGGGAAACCGGAGCUAAUACCGGAUAAUAUUUUGAACCGCAUGGUUCAAAAGUGAAAGACGGUCUUGCUGUCACUUAUAGAUGGAUCCGCGCUGCAUUAGCUAGUUGGUAAGGUAACGGCUUACCAAGGCAACGAUGCAUAGCCGACCUGAGAGGGCGAUCGGCCACACUGGAACUGAGACACGGUCCAGACUCCUACGGGAGGCAGCAGUAGGGAAUCUUCCGCAAUGGGCGAAAGCCUGACGGAGCAACGCCGCGUGAGUGAUGAAGGUCUUCGGAUCGUAAAACUCUGUUAUUAGGGAAGAACAUAUGUGUAAGUAACUGUGCACAUCUUGACGGUACCUAAUCAGAAAGCCACGGCUAACUACGUG
Molecule: ribosomal RNA, 496 nt
Filed under: uncultured bacterium
Lineage: Bacteria
Description: partial 16S ribosomal RNA
Rfam family: Bacterial small subunit ribosomal RNA
Source: RNAcentral